CACAGUACCGUGAGGGAAGUUGGUUGGGUAAGUUGUUUUCUCCCCCCCCCUGGCGUGGGGAAAGCAUGAUAUUGUUUAUAUACUCAAUUGUUUCAUUUCCAGAUUUGGAACGGCAAUUGUUUUGCGGCUUUAUUUUGUUGCAUUUGCAUGUGUUGUGCGUAGAGACAUUUGGUCAGGUAUUAUGAUUUCAAUUUUGAGGCCAGCUUGCUGGUACCCAAAUUGGAGGAUUACUAUUCUUCGGCCAAAUGUUUGCGCGUAUGGUUUUCGGACUCGAUUGGACACCGAGCUGGAGGUCAGUGGCGGUCGCAUGCGACGCGCGCUGUGCAAUCAGUUCGGUUCUAGUCGAGUUCUCAUGCGUGUUCUCUGCGUAAAAGCUGGUCAUCUAUCCGACCCGUCUUGAAACACGGACCAAGGAGUUUAUCGUGUGCGCGAGCCAUUGGGCAUUCAAAACCCAGAGGCGCAAUGAAAGUGAAAUGAUCUCGCAAGAGACUGAUGUGCGACUCCUCACGCUUUGGCGCGAGGAUGCAGCAUGGCCCCAUCCCGACUGCUUGCAGUGGGGUGGCGGAAGAGCGUAUGCGGUGAGACCCGAAAGAUGGUGAACUAUUCCUGAGCAGGAUGAAGCCAGAGGAAACUCUGGUGGAAGUCCGAAGCGGUUCUGACGUGCAAAUCGAUCGUCUGACUUGGGUAUAGGGGCGAAAGACUAAUCGAACCAUCUAGUAGCUGGUUC
This 727-nucleotide ribosomal RNA is filed under the name Meloidogyne daklakensis. RNAcentral describes it as "eukaryotic LSU rRNA". It matches the Rfam family "Eukaryotic large subunit ribosomal RNA", at positions 431 to 957 of the family's 3401-position model. Lineage: Eukaryota; Metazoa; Nematoda; Chromadorea; Rhabditida; Meloidogynidae. The record is from RNAcentral.